Unclassified non-coding RNA from Pongo abelii (Sumatran orangutan), 148 nucleotides. It matches the Rfam family "Metazoan signal recognition particle RNA". Rfam says of the family: The signal recognition particle (SRP) is a universally conserved ribonucleoprotein. It is involved in the co-translational targeting of proteins to membranes. The record is from Ensembl. NCBI's taxonomy places the organism in Eukaryota, Metazoa, Chordata, Mammalia, Primates, Hominidae.
ACUGGGCGUGGUGGCGCAUGCCUGUAAUCCCAGCUACUCGGGAGUCUGAGGGAGGAGAAUUGCUUGAACCCAGGAGGCAGAGGUUGCAGUGAGCCAAGAUGGUGCCACUGCACCCCAGCCUGGGCAACAGAGCAAGACUCUAUCUCAA